This is a non-coding RNA of Macaca mulatta (Rhesus monkey), 3383 nucleotides long. The record is from RefSeq and is a predicted model, not a curated record. Lineage: Eukaryota; Metazoa; Chordata; Mammalia; Primates; Cercopithecidae.
GGCAGGAGGCUGGGUUCUAUCCCCAAGCCCCACCUCUAAGGAGCUCCCACUUACACCUGAGAGAGAGUCCAGCUUCAAGCUACACAGAGAUGCCUGUGCAGGGAGCGCCGAUUGCAGCCAUCCGUAAAGCCAGCCAGAGUCCACCACAGACAUGCCCACAAGAUCUCACGACCACGGGAGAUUCAGAUGGAAUGAUGUGAUGUGUCUGAAGAUGUGAAGGAGCCACCCAGACCUAAGCCACCUGGACAAAGAAGGGAUCUGGCUCAUCCAGGACCAUGCAACUUGGGCCAUCUAUAUCUGUGCUGUGGUUCGGAGUCAAGAUGCAGUUUCUCACGGUCUGCGGACAGUGGUAUCACCUCUCCACCAGGGCGUCGGGAAUCCAGGGUGACUGUGAUCACGAACCACCACACAGGAGAGACCAAGGGGCCAUUCGCUGGACGCAAGCAGGAAAAAGUCCCUUGGAAUAAUUUAAAAUGCAAAUUUUAGAUCAAAAUUCUGUGGCAUGUAAUCACCGGGUCUUUUUUAUCUCUGGACAACCCCCCAUGAGGCCAAUACCAUGGCUGUCAUCUGCAUGUCACAGAUGAGAUCACAGAAACACGGAGAGCAAGCAUGGAUGCAAAAUCAGGAGGCUGCUGAGCAGCGCAGAGCUGAGCACGGGGACAGUUGCACGUCCCAUUUCAGUGCUGCCAGUCUGUGGAAGAUGGCGGAACCACCUGGGCAGGGUCCACAAAUGCUCACUGUCUUUUCAGAUGCAGACUCACAGCACUGACCGCUACCUCUGGGGAUGGACCAGCUGAGUAAUUUGGAGUUGGAGAAGUUUGGAUUUGGGAAAGGUAGAAUGGCUAUGGGCCCUGUGAGAUGUCACUCCUCCCAGGAUGUAUGGGGCAGCGUCUGCUCUGCACCGCGUCUCUGCAGGGAAACCCAACCCUCCCAAAGGCACUGGGGCUCCUGGUAGCUCAAAGCAGGUUUUGCUAUCAGAUGAGCUGUGCCAAACGGGGGGAAAAGAUUCUUGCUUCAGAGCUCCUGGGAUUUAGAAUCAUGGGCGUGGAAGCUCCCCUCACCAUGUGCCAAUCCAGAAUGGGCCUUGGUCACAGCAAUGGGCCAGCCAUCAGCUCAGCAUGGUGCCUUGAUGGCCUGUUGGGGGCUGAGCUGAGAGUCCAGGCCCACCUGGAGCAAACCCCUGACUCUGGGGUUUUAGUGACUUGGUCUUCUGCACCCAGGUGAUAAGCAUAGAUGGCCUUGUGCGGGACUGUGGUGCAGCUGAGAGAACACGUGCUGAGUGACCACAGGACCUGAGCCCUGCACUCUUUGCCCCUCUGGGCCUCCAGGUUCCUGCUUGCCUUCGAAUUGCAACCAAGGGCCCCCUGGAGUGACCACUGCAUGGGCAGCACGCCUUCAUGUUUCUUACAGGAGGGUCAAACACAUCCCUCGACCACACUUUUCCAUCAUCACAAGGAAAUCUGCGGACGGCAGAGCAUCACCUCCCUCAGAGAAACACAGAAUGCUGCCUAUCCCUUUGCCAGGCCCUUACUUAAAGAACUGGAAGUGAAAUGAAAUCCUUGAAUAAAGUGACUUGGAAAACCCACAGGUACAAAGCACCAGGACCCUGUAGGGUCCAAGCACCUUCCUACUGCCAUGUAACGACAGGCGCCUGAAUGGCCACCUCUCCAUGUCAGAAAUACUAUUUGAUACUAAGCAGGAGAUCAGGCUUCCACCAGCCCCUGAUGUGUAAUGGCUUAUCCUAGGCAAACUGUCCUGCAGGCCAUGGACCCUCAGAACCCAGGGCAGCAAAGAGGAAAACUGGGUGAGUGGACAAAAAUCUGAAUGCAGUAGAAGGAGGCACUCUGGGGGCACGGGGGGAAGGAAGCGGUCAGGCUUGGCGCCACGCAGAGGCAGUGAAGCCAACAAGGCCAGGACUGGAAGGAGGAUGCUCUCCAAGGCGCAGACUCACACCCUGCCGGGUCCGGAUCCAGGCUCCACAAGGCGUCAGCUUGCUCACACUGGACCAGGCUUAUGGACAGAUGCAAAAGCAAGCUUUCAUGAGCCCCAAGUGAACCUUUUCCCCACAGGACUCUCAGAGAGGACUGACACAGAUGAUAGAUUAGGCUCCCCUCAGAGCGCACACACACUCCGUGGCUUGACCGUGGCCAGAACAGGAUGCACCCCCCCAGCCUCUGGGCUCCCACCGCGAGGCAAGCGAUUGCCCUGCAGUCCAAGUGCCCCAGCAUGCACUGUUAAUAUAUGAUUACCAUGUCCAGACACGCUAACAAAAAAGCACUGCACAGCAGGCACACUGCACUGGAGAAUCAGCGGUUUGCGCCUCAAGUCUAAUUAAGACAAAAGUUUUAGUGCGUUGGCUGUGGAAAGGCAUGCUAAUGAUUCACAAGCUGGCUUAACCCCGCCAUGAACACCUGUAUUUCAGCAGCUUCCCAGGAGGUGAUGGGGUGAUGUGGAAAGGGGAACCUGUCCUUCCCUUCACACUGAGUGGAUCUGCAAGCACAGGGCAGGGCAACUCAGUCUCCAAAACCAACAGGGCCAGUGCCAGGCUCAAUUUGUUCUUUCUUUAAAGUAGCUUCCAUAGAAAGCGUCACUGUCACCCCUACUCCAGACCCUGGGCUCUUUCCAAACCGGGUGAAGGGGUGACAGCUGCCUGGGACUCUUCCAGGACAGGGCUGUGUGGCCGGCCAUGGAGCAGAGGCCCCGUGGCACAGUGCACAGACAGCGUCCUCCCAGAGGCAGCUGUUCCCCACACUGACUUCAAUUCUGAUGGCACAAGGCCAGAAUGUCUUUCAUUAGUUCCCCAAACUCUGUCAUCAGGGAAGCAGACGAGCCCAGUGUGGAUUUUUUAAAGUCAGCACAUUCAAAAGCAUCACCCGACAUGAGGCCACACAUCCUAAAACACACACACUCCACACACAUGUGCUUAGCCAUGCAGGGACUUCACCCUCAGAGGUGUGCCCAGAAGAUGAUCUGCCUGGCCUAGACUGGGAAGGGUCUCAAAAAAAUCACCAAAGCCUCAAAAACAUGGUUUCCCAUGACAUUGGCAGUGGCCUCCCACUCAUUUCUAGAUGCCACUCUAUGCCCUUCGUCCAGCCAAAACCACCCUGUGACUGCUCCUCACAUCACUCAAACACAGGAUUUCCUGCAGCAGAUGUGACUCCAGUGGCUUCCAAGGCUGGAUGAGAGGAGAGUGAUGGGAGCGGUAUGUCCCCUUCCUCAUGCCCACCUCCCGGUCCACACGCCCUAGACCAGCCGCCUUCGAGAAUAAGGUCCUGUCCCACAAUCCCCAAAUUCCACUGAUUUCAUCUCCUGCAGCUUCUCUUAUAAUUUUGGUUGCUAUCAGUCCCUGAAUGCUUUAAGAAUAAAAAUGCCUUUCAGUAAUA